GAUCUCCUAGCUCAGUUGGUAGAGCAACGCCCUUUUAAGGCGUGGGUCCUGGGUUCGAGCCCCAGGGGGAUCACCA
RNAcentral lists this transfer RNA (76 nucleotides) under bacterium. Its description in RNAcentral is "tRNA-Lys". It matches the Rfam family "tRNA". From Rfam's summary of the family: Transfer RNA (tRNA) molecules are approximately 80 nucleotides in length. Their secondary structure includes four short double-helical elements and three loops (D, anti-codon, and T loops). Further hydrogen bonds mediate the characteristic L-shaped molecular structure. tRNAs have two regions of fundamental functional importance: the anti-codon, which is responsible for specific mRNA codon recognition, and the 3' end, to which the tRNAs corresponding amino acid is attached (by aminoacyl-tRNA synthetases). tRNAs cope with the degeneracy of the genetic code in two manners: having more than one tRNA (with a specific anti-codon) for a particular amino acid; and 'wobble' base-pairing, i.e. permitting non-standard base-pairing at the 3rd anti-codon position. RNAcentral also lists the same sequence under 2 other names. The record is from RNAcentral.